This 253-nucleotide ribosomal RNA is filed under the name uncultured bacterium. Its description in RNAcentral is "partial 16S ribosomal RNA". It matches the Rfam family "Bacterial small subunit ribosomal RNA", at positions 524 to 776 of the family's 1533-position model. The record is from RNAcentral.
UACAGGGGGGGCAAGCGUUGUUCGGAAUUACUGGGCGUAAAGGGCUCGUAGGCGGCCAACUAAGUCGGAUGUGAAAUCCCCAGGCUUAACCUGGGAACUGCAUCCGAUACUGGAUGGCUUGAAUCCGGGAGAGGGAUGCAGAAUUCCAGGUGUAGCGGUGAAAUGCGUAGAUAUCUGGAGGAAUACCGGUGGCGAAGGCGGCAUCCUGGACCGGCAUUGACGCUGAGGAGCGAAAGCUAGGGGAGCAAACGGG